UUAAGCGACUAAGCGUACACGGUGGAUGCCCUGGCAGUCAGAGGCGAUGAAGGACGUGCUAAUCUGCGAUAAGCGUCGGUAAGGUGAUAUGAACCGUUAUAACCGGCGAUUUCCGAAUGGGGAAACCCAGUGUGAUUCGUCACACUAUCAUUAACUGAAUCCAUAGGUUAAUGAGGCGAACCGGGGGAACUGAAACAUCUAAGUACCCCGAGGAAAAGAAAUCAACCGAGAUUCCCCCAGUAGCGGCGAGCGAACGGGGAGCAGCCCAGAGCCUGAAUCAGUGUGUGUGUUAGUGGAAGCGUCUGGAAAGGCGCGCGAUACAGGGUGACAGCCCCGUACACAAAAAUGCACAUGCUGUGAGCUCGAUGAGUAGGGCGGGACACGUGGUAUCCUGUCUGAAUAUGGGGGGACCAUCCUCCAAGGCUAAAUACUCCUGACUGACCGAUAGUGAACCAGUACCGUGAGGGAAAGGCGAAAAGAACCCCGGCGAGGGGAGUGAAAAAGAACCUGAAACCGUGUACGUACAAGCAGUGGGAGCACGCUUAGGCGUGUGACUGCGUACCUUUUGUAUAAUGGGUCAGCGACUUAUAUUCUGUAGCAAGGUUAACCGAAUAGGGGAGCCGAAGGGAAACCGAGUCUUAACUGGGCGUUAAGUUGCAGGGUAUAGACCCGAAACCCGGUGAUCUAGCCAUGGGCAGGUUGAAGGUUGGGUAACACUAACUGGAGGACCGAACCGACUAAUGUUGAAAAAUUAGCGGAUGACUUGUGGCUGGGGGUGAAAGGCCAAUCAAACCGGGAGAUAGCUGGUUCUCCCCGAAAGCUAUUUAGGUAGCGCCUCGUGAAUUCAUCUCCGGGGGUAGAGCACUGUUUCGGCAAGGGGGUCAUCCCGACUUACCAACCCGAUGCAAACUGCGAAUACCGGAGAAUGUUAUCACGGGAGACACACGGCGGGUGCUAACGUCCGUCGUGAAGAGGGAAACAACCCAGACCGCCAGCUAAGGUCCCAAAGUCAUGGUUAAGUGGGAAACGAUGUGGGAAGGCCCAGACAGCCAGGAUGUUGGCUUAGAAGCAGCCAUCAUUUAAAGAAAGCGUAAUAGCUCACUGGUCGAGUCGGCCUGCGCGGAAGAUGUAACGGGGCUAAACCAUGCACCGAAGCUGCGGCAGCGACGCUUAUGCGUUGUUGGGUAGGGGAGCGUUCUGUAAGCCUGCGAAGGUGUGCUGUGAGGCAUGCUGGAGGUAUCAGAAGUGCGAAUGCUGACAUAAGUAACGAUAAAGCGGGUGAAAAGCCCGCUCGCCGGAAGACCAAGGGUUCCUGUCCAACGUUAAUCGGGGCAGGGUGAGUCGACCCCUAAGGCGAGGCCGAAAGGCGUAGUCGAUGGGAAACAGGUUAAUAUUCCUGUACUUGGUGUUACUGCGAAGGGGGGACGGAGAAGGCUAUGUUGGCCGGGCGACGGUUGUCCCGGUUUAAGCGUGUAGGCUGGUUUUCCAGGCAAAUCCGGAAAACUAAGGCUGAGGCGUGAUGACGAGGCACUACGGUGCUGAAGCAACAAAUGCCCUGCUUCCAGGAAAAGCCUCUAAGCAUCAGGUAACAUCAAAUCGUACCCCAAACCGACACAGGUGGUCAGGUAGAGAAUACCAAGGCGCUUGAGAGAACUCGGGUGAAGGAACUAGGCAAAAUGGUGCCGUAACUUCGGGAGAAGGCACGCUGAUAUGUAGGUGAAGUCCCUCGCGGAUGGAGCUGAAAUCAGUCGAAGAUACCAGCUGGCUGCAACUGUUUAUUAAAAACACAGCACUGUGCAAACACGAAAGUGGACGUAUACGGUGUGACGCCUGCCCGGUGCCGGAAGGUUAAUUGAUGGGGUCAGCGCAAGCGAAGCUCUUGAUCGAAGCCCCGGUAAACGGCGGCCGUAACUAUAACGGUCCUAAGGUAGCGAAAUUCCUUGUCGGGUAAGUUCCGACCUGCACGAAUGGCGUAAUGAUGGCCAGGCUGUCUCCACCCGAGACUCAGUGAAAUUGAACUCGCUGUGAAGAUGCAGUGUACCCGCGGCAAGACGGAAAGACCCCGUGAACCUUUACUAUAGCUUGACACUGAACAUUGAGCCUUGAUGUGUAGGAUAGGUGGGAGGCUUNAUCCGGGUUGCGGACAGUGUCUGGUGGGUAGUUUGACUGGGGCGGUCUCCUCCUAAAGAGUAACGGAGGAGCACGAAGGUUGGCUAAUCCUGGUCGGACAUCAGGAGGUUAGUGCAAUGGCAUAAGCCAGCUUGACUGCGAGCGUGACGGCGCGAGCAGGUGCGAAAGCAGGUCAUAGUGAUCCGGUGGUUCUGAAUGGAAGGGCCAUCGCUCAACGGAUAAAAGGUACUCCGGGGAUAACAGGCUGAUACCGCCCAAGAGUUCAUAUCGACGGCGGUGUUUGGCACCUCGAUGUCGGCUCAUCACAUCCUGGGGCUGAAGUAGGUCCCAAGGGUAUGGCUGUUCGCCAUUUAAAGUGGUACGCGAGCUGGGUUUAGAACGUCGUGAGACAGUUCGGUCCCUAUCUGCCGUGGGCGCUGGAGAACUGAGGGGGGCUGCUCCUAGUACGAGAGGACCGGAGUGGACGCAUCACUGGUGUUCGGGUUGUCAUGCCAAUGGCACUGCCCGGUAGCUAAAUGCGGAAGAGAUAAGUGCUGAAAGCAUCUAAGCACGAAACUUGCCCCGAGAUGAGUUCUCCCUGACUCCUUGAGAGUCCUGAAGGAACGUUGAAGACGACGACGUUGAUAGGCCGGGUGUGUAAGCGCAGCGAUGCGUUGAGCUAACCGGUACUAAUGAACCGUGAGGCUUAACCUU
Molecule: ribosomal RNA, 2823 nt
Filed under: Escherichia coli
Lineage: Bacteria; Pseudomonadati; Pseudomonadota; Gammaproteobacteria; Enterobacterales; Enterobacteriaceae
Description: bacterial LSU rRNA
Rfam family: Bacterial large subunit ribosomal RNA
Source: RNAcentral